CAGCAGCCGCGGUAAUACGUAGGGUGCGAGCGUUAAUCGGAAUUACUGGGCGUAAAGCGUGCGCAGGCGGUUUUGUAAGACAGGCGUGAAAUCCCCGGGCUCAACCUGGGAAUGGCGCUUGUGACUGCAAAGCUAGAGUGCGGCAGAGGGGGAUGGAAUUCCGCGUGUAGCAGUGAAAUGCGUAGAUAUGCGGAGGAACACCGAUGGCGAAGGCAAUCCCCUGGGCCUGCACUGACGCUCAUGCACGAAAGCGUGGGGAGCAAACAGGAUUAGAUACCCCGGUAGUCCCUGUCUCUUAUAC
RNAcentral lists this ribosomal RNA (301 nucleotides) under uncultured bacterium. RNAcentral's name for it is "partial 16S ribosomal RNA". It matches the Rfam family "Bacterial small subunit ribosomal RNA", at positions 509 to 807 of the family's 1533-position model. The record is from RNAcentral.